AUUGAACGCUGGCGGCAUGCUUUACACAUGCAAGUCGAACGGUAACAGGUUAAGCUGACGAGUGGCGAACGGGUGAGUAAUGCAUCGGAACGUGCCCAGUCGUGGGGGAUAACGCAGCGAAAGCUGUGCUAAUACCGCAUACGAUCUAUGGAUGAAAGCGGGGGACCGUAAGGCCUCGCGCGAUUGGAGCGGCCGAUGUCAGAUUAGCUAGUUGUGGGGUAAAGGCCCACCAAGGCGACGAUCAGUAGCUGGUCUGAGAGGACGACCAGCCACACUGGGACUGAGACACGGCCCAGGACUCCUACGGGAGGCAGCAGUGGGGAAUAUUGGGCAAUGGGGGGAACCCUGACCCAGCGACGCCGCGUGGGUGAAGGAAAUCCUU
This 382-nucleotide ribosomal RNA is filed under the name uncultured bacterium. RNAcentral's name for it is "bacterial SSU rRNA". It matches the Rfam family "Bacterial small subunit ribosomal RNA", at positions 29 to 419 of the family's 1533-position model. The record is from RNAcentral.